AGACUGGCAGGUUUUAAGGGGUCUCAUUUAUUAAUACAAUCAAUAAAAAGCAAUUCACAAAUACCUAGUUCAUGGGUUAGUUCAUCUUCCCUCUAUAGAAGACCACUAGCUUCUAUAGAGGCCAGUUUGACUAGAGAGGUAUAGGGUUCGAUGAUAUCCUAUUUUGGAAAAUAGUACUACUCUUUUCUUUCUACAUCAUUGUAUAUUAGUUGCCUGCAAUGAUAGCUUAAUUAUGACAUUUUCAUGCAUGUUGUACAAUGUGUAUCUAUCAUAUUCAUGCUCCUUCACUCUUCCUUGUCUAUCUUACCCAUUUUACAAAUGUCCCUUGAAUAGUCUUUUACUUUUGUGUCUUCCAAAGACAAAAUUAGUUCCACCUAAGAAGAAACAUAGGGUAUCUAUUUGUCUUUCUGAACCUGACUUUAAAUUUGUUUAACAUGAUCAUCUUCAGUUCUAUCCAUUUUCCUGAAAUAAUAUAAUUCUCCUUUAUGGCUGAAUAAUACUCCAUUGUAUCUAUGUACAUCAUGUGAUCAUUUAUUUAUGCAUCGUCCCUUACAAGGUAUCGAAGCUUAUUUUCUCCAGCUUCAUGCUCAAUCUCUUUACUUUGCAACAGAGUCCUGGCAUCUUAGUAAGUUAGGAGAGGACUGGUGCCAUAAAGCCAAAGACGGGCAAAGGUACCUAAAUGAAUGUUACAUGGCCACAUCCCGCUCUCCAUGUCUCUCCUCUUCCCCAACAACCUUUCUUUUCCUUUUUAUUUCUGUUGCUGGAGAGCCUGGAGCCCUUGACUUCAGCCAAGCACACACAUUCCUUUGAAGGGAGUGGCUCUCGCCACACAGACUUGCAGGUUGAAUGGUUGUUGACACUGUUACCUUGGGCACCUACCCGGGAGCACCUGCCAGUGUGACUGUGUCAGACACAGACGUGGAAUUGCCUGCUCUCCCAUAACUCUUCAGAGCACUCCUUAUGCUGGAGCAUGUUCCCGAUUUACUUUGUAACUCAAAGGCACUUAACUAAGUUAUUGCCUCUGAGAUUCUACGAUCCCCUUGGUUGUAGAAUAUCCACUACCUCUAUUAGGUUCAUUGUGCGACUUAGUUGAGGAAGAACCAGGGUAUCUUAAGCUUUUUAGAGUGUGAGAGUUAACCUUAGCAUUUACUCUGCCCUUGAUGGGUAUAACGAAGGGCUGUGAGGACCCAGGUUUGCUGGCUCCUGUGAUGA
This 1212-nucleotide long non-coding RNA is filed under the name Mus musculus (house mouse). Its description in RNAcentral is "long non-coding RNA chr7:70605855-70607067". Lineage: Eukaryota; Metazoa; Chordata; Mammalia; Rodentia; Muridae. The record is from RNAcentral.